UAAAAGUGGAAAUAUUUCUCUUUCGAUUCUAACGCUACAUUCUCACGGCGAUCGGGCUGCGCACAACGUGCACUCCAUCUUCCCAGGACUCCAUGUUGGGUGAAUGGAUUUCAAGUAAGCGAUGGUGCCACUGACGUGAGGGCACGCCAUGGAAGUUCCAGAGAGAAAAGUGUACUCCACGAACACUUCCUUUCCAUUGUCAGUGUCGGGGAUAUUGCUUGGCCAAGCUGCUAAGAUCUCGACUCCUGGAGCGGUAACGUCCGGCUGCAACGCGAGAUAAGUCACAAGCUUCAUGGUGCUGGCUUGUAAGGAAUCGUUGUUCCUCUGAGAAUUCGUGAUUUACGACUGCACAGAAACCACGAGGCAAAGAGUAUUCCAUCACCUUUUGAUCAUCUGUUAUACUUACUUGGCUGCUAUUUUAGCAUCCUCGUUGAUCUCCCUGUCGAUUGUACUGGCACCGACCGUGAAGAUCCAGGGAGCACCGUUGGACACCGAUCCAGUAAAUGGUCCAGAGCUUCCACCAGCGCAAGAGACCAUGAUCCCUCUUUCGACGGCGUGAUAGGCACCAAUCGCAAUGACGUUUACGCUGUAAACUGCGGGAUAGCCUCCGAGUGAGAUGGACAGGACAUCCACGCCGUCGUUGAUGGCAUCGUCGAAACCCGCAGCGAUGUCAACCUCCUCGCAGCUAUCCGUCCAGCAGACUUUGUACAUGGCGAUCCGAGCAU
Long non-coding RNA from Selaginella moellendorffii, 725 nucleotides. RefSeq lists it as uncharacterized. NCBI's taxonomy places the organism in Eukaryota, Viridiplantae, Streptophyta, Lycopodiopsida, Selaginellales, Selaginellaceae. The transcript is spliced from 3 exons. The record is from RefSeq and is a predicted model, not a curated record.